AUCCAGCUGACGAGCCUCAGACAGGACGAAACGCGCAUCCUGGAU
RNAcentral lists this non-coding RNA (45 nucleotides) under Schistosoma bovis. The record is from RNAcentral. RNAcentral also lists the same sequence under 1 other name. Lineage: Eukaryota; Metazoa; Platyhelminthes; Trematoda; Strigeidida; Schistosomatidae.